Sander lucioperca (pikeperch) is the source of this 128-nucleotide small nucleolar RNA. The record is from Ensembl. Lineage: Eukaryota; Metazoa; Chordata; Actinopteri; Perciformes; Percidae.
GCAGACUCACUCUGUUCUUUGCUGUUCACUCCAGCCUCGAACUUUUUCUGUCUGCUACAUAAACAUGCAGAAUGUAACACACACACUGUUUUUCUAAGGCUAGUGUCAUUAUGUUCUGCUACAUUACA